RNAcentral lists this ribosomal RNA (593 nucleotides) under uncultured organism. Its description in RNAcentral is "SSU rRNA". It matches the Rfam family "Bacterial small subunit ribosomal RNA", at positions 874 to 1467 of the family's 1533-position model. The record is from RNAcentral.
UGGGGAGUACGGCGGCAAGGUUAAAACUCAAAUGAAUUGACGGGGGUCCGCACAAGCGAUGGAGCAUGUGGUUUAAUUUGAUGCAACGCGAAGAACCUUACGUACUCUUGACAUCCAGAGAACAUUCCAGAGAUAGAUUGGUGCCUUCGGGAACUCUGAGACAGGUGAUGCAUGGCUGUCGUCAGCUCGUGUUGUGAAAUGUUGGGUUAAGUCACGCAUCGAGCGCAACCCUUAUCCUUUGUUUCCAGCGAUUUGGUCGGGAACUCAAAGGAGACUGCCGGUGAUAAACCGGAGGAAGGUGGGGAUGACGUCAAGUCAUCAUGGCCCUUACGAGUAGGGCUACACACGUUCUACAAUGGCGUAUACAGAGGGAAGCGAGAGUGCGAGCUGGAGCGAAUCUCACAAAGUAAGUGUAAGUCCGGAUUGGAGUAUGCAACUGGACUCCAUGAAGUCGGAAUCGUUAGUAAUCGCAAAUCAGAAUGUUGCGGUGAAUACGUUCCCGGGCCUUGUACACACCGCCCGUCACACCAUGGGAGUGGGUUGUACCAGAAGUAGAUAGCUUAACCUUCGGGGGGGCGUUUACCACGGUAUGA